UUAAAUUGAAGAGUUUGAUCAUGGCUCAGAUUGAACGCUGGCGGCAGGCCUAACACAUGCAAGUCGAACGGUAACAGGAAGCAGCUUGCUGCUUUGCUGACGA
RNAcentral lists this ribosomal RNA (103 nucleotides) under Escherichia coli. RNAcentral describes it as "partial 16S ribosomal RNA". It matches the Rfam family "Bacterial small subunit ribosomal RNA", at positions 1 to 101 of the family's 1533-position model. RNAcentral also lists the same sequence under 10 other names. The record is from RNAcentral. Lineage: Bacteria; Pseudomonadati; Pseudomonadota; Gammaproteobacteria; Enterobacterales; Enterobacteriaceae.